This is a non-coding RNA of Arachis ipaensis, 153 nucleotides long. The record is from RefSeq and is a predicted model, not a curated record. Lineage: Eukaryota; Viridiplantae; Streptophyta; Magnoliopsida; Fabales; Fabaceae.
GGCUGAUAAGAGAGCUAGUGAGCUUAGUGAACCAUGCUCUGGGUGCUUGCUUCAACCCAUACAGGGAUCAAUUAGUUUUCACACCAUUUUAUCAUUUCCAGCUUCAUAUCCAAAUAGCUGCUUCAUGUAAACUUCUUUCUGCAACUCCCCAUU